GUGAGGAAUUUUGCGCAAUGGCCGCAAGGCUGACGCAGCAACGCCGCGUGGGUGAUGAAGGCCUUCGGGUCGUAAAGCCCUGUCAGGUGGGAAGAAAGGCUUGGAGAAGCAACGCUUUGAGUUUGACGGUACCACCAGAGGAAGCACCGGCUAACUCCGUGCCAGCAGCCGCGGUAAUACGGAGGGUGCGAGCGUUAUUCGGAAUUACUGGGCGUAAAGCGCGUGUAGGCGGGGAUGCAAGUCUGAUGUGAAAGCCCUGGGCUUAACCUGGGAAGUGCAUUGGAAACUGCAUUUCUUGAGUACUGGAGAGGAAGGGGGAAUUCCCGGUGUAGAGGUGAAAUUCGUAGAGAUCGGGAGGAAUACCAGUGGCGUAGGCGCCCUUCUGGACGGUAACUGACGCUGAGACGCGAAAGCGUGGGGAGCAAACAGGAUUAGAAACCCGAGUAGUCC
Molecule: ribosomal RNA, 450 nt
Filed under: uncultured bacterium
Lineage: Bacteria
Description: partial 16S ribosomal RNA
Rfam family: Bacterial small subunit ribosomal RNA
Source: RNAcentral